This 294-nucleotide long non-coding RNA is filed under the name Setaria viridis. RNAcentral's name for it is "long non-coding RNA (SVIR_LNC002995)". The record is from RNAcentral. Lineage: Eukaryota; Viridiplantae; Streptophyta; Magnoliopsida; Poales; Poaceae.
GCAGCAACGCGGCCUCUCCACCUCCUCCACCGCCUCUCGUCAAACAUCGAGGCUCCAGCCUCCAGCAGCGCUAAGCUGCCGACGCCUCCGCCUCCUUCCCGAAGAAAAAAAUCACCCCUCCUCUGCAUGGCCAUUGCCCAAGUACAGCUCAUCCCCAUGGCUGUUGUCCACACGCAGCUCCCCUGCCAUCUCGCACUGCUCGAGUUUCAGCCCUGAUUUUUCUAUCCCUCCAGUUUGUGAUUCCAUGUUUCCGGUGAUGUUCUCUUUCCUAUCUGAACAGAUCGAUCUUGAGAC